AAUAAACGAAUUUCUGUGUUUUUAUAGAAUUUUUGACUCUUCGUCUUAUUUGAAAAUUUUUUAUGAUUUAUUUUUUUAUUGUUACUACGUGAUAAAACAUAAGUAGGACUUUAAAUCCGACUAUUUUUUUAAAUAUUUUAAUAAAUUUUUCAAAUAAGACGGAUGAUUAAACACUGGACAUACAAAACUCAGA
Molecule: microRNA precursor, 193 nt
Filed under: Oryza brachyantha (malo sina)
Lineage: Eukaryota; Viridiplantae; Streptophyta; Magnoliopsida; Poales; Poaceae
Description: MIR812 microRNA precursor family
Rfam family: MIR812 microRNA precursor family
Source: Rfam by way of RNAcentral